UACCGAGUGUGCUGCCUGGAUCAGGUCCCAA
RNAcentral lists this non-coding RNA (31 nucleotides) under Homo sapiens (human). Lineage: Eukaryota; Metazoa; Chordata; Mammalia; Primates; Hominidae. The record is from RNAcentral.